This 252-nucleotide ribosomal RNA is filed under the name uncultured bacterium. RNAcentral's name for it is "partial 16S ribosomal RNA". It matches the Rfam family "Bacterial small subunit ribosomal RNA", at positions 524 to 776 of the family's 1533-position model. The record is from RNAcentral.
UACGUAGGAGGCAAGCGUUGUCCGGAAUUAUUGGGCGUAAAGCGCGCGCAGGCGGCGAUUUAAGUCUUCUGUUUAAUGCAUGGGCUCAACCCGUGUUCGCAGAGGAAACUGGGUGGCUGGAGUGCAGGAGAGGAAAGUGGAAUUCCACGUGUAGCGGUGAAAUGCGUAGAGAUGUGGAGGAACACCAGUGGCGAAGGCGACUCUUUGGUCUGUAACUGACGCUGAGGCGCGAAAGCGUGGGGAGCAAACAGG